GAUGAACGCUGGCGGCGUGCUUAACACAUGCAAGUCGAACGAAGCACUUUAUUUGAUUUCCUUCGGGACUGAUUAUUUUGUGACUGAGUGGCGGACGGGUGAGUAACGCGUGGGUAACCUGCCUUGUACAGGGGGAUAACAGUUAGAAACGGCUGCUAAUACCGCAUAAGCGCACGGCAUCGCAUGAUGCAGUGUGAAAAACUCCGGUGGUAUAAGAUGGACCCGCGUUGGAUUAGCUAGUUGGUGAGGUAACGGCCCACCAAGGCGACGAUCCAUAGCCGACCUGAGAGGGUGACCGGCCACAUUGGGACUGAGACACGGCCCAAACUCCUACGGGAGGCAGCAGUGGGGAAUAUUGCACAAUGGGCGAAAGCCUGAUGCAGCGACGCCGCGUGAGCGAAGAAGUAUUUCGGUAUGUAAAGCUCUAUCAGCAGGGAAGAUAAUGACGGUACCUGACUAAGAAGCACCGGCUAAAUACGUG
Molecule: ribosomal RNA, 481 nt
Filed under: uncultured bacterium
Lineage: Bacteria
Description: partial 16S ribosomal RNA
Rfam family: Bacterial small subunit ribosomal RNA
Source: RNAcentral